Papilio xuthus (Asian swallowtail) is the source of this 428-nucleotide long non-coding RNA. RefSeq lists it as uncharacterized. The record is from RefSeq and is a predicted model, not a curated record. The transcript is spliced from 3 exons. Lineage: Eukaryota; Metazoa; Arthropoda; Insecta; Lepidoptera; Papilionidae.
GUGCUUAUAAUUUAAGAGACGUCAAAACUUAAGUGGAAUUCACAAACGCAAAUCAAGACAUCUAAGCGCGUGAUUCCAAUGGAAUGCACCGGACAUUAUUGUUUAUUUUGAUAUUGUGAUUUACGAGAAAAUACAGGUAAGCAGAACACAGUAUAUGGGUUUUUUGGUGAAUUCAAUAACAGUUUUUAAUUUUCGGAAAAUUGGCACAUAGAAUUGAGACAUAAAACAACUAUUGGCGGUUUUAGAAGACGGAAAUGUUUCUGAAGAUGGUUUGGAAGAUGAAAGUGAAGAUGACGAAACCUUUUUAGCUUAUGCAAGAGAGAUAAUUCAAGAGAAAGAAGACGAGGAUGCAGAGGAUCAUGAAGAUCCUACCUAUAGCGAUCCACCACUGGUUCAAGAUUUUCCUGACUCAUUGAGUAAUUAUUUAU